Molecule: ribosomal RNA, 712 nt
Filed under: Staphylococcus aureus
Lineage: Bacteria; Bacillati; Bacillota; Bacilli; Caryophanales; Staphylococcaceae
Description: bacterial SSU rRNA
Rfam family: Bacterial small subunit ribosomal RNA
Source: RNAcentral
UAUGUGUAAGUAACUGUGCACAUCUUGACGGUACCUAAUCAGAAAGCCACGGCUAACUACGUGCCAGCAGCCGCGGUAAUACGUAGGUGGCAAGCGUUAUCCGGAAUUAUUGGGCGUAAAGCGCGCGUAGGCGGUUUUUUAAGUCUGAUGUGAAAGCCCACGGCUCAACCGUGGAGGGUCAUUGGAAACUGGAAAACUUGAGUGCAGAAGAGGAAAGUGGAAUUCCAUGUGUAGCGGUGAAAUGCGCAGAGAUAUGGAGGAACACCAGUGGCGAAGGCGACUUUCUGGUCUGUAACUGACGCUGAUGUGCGAAAGCGUGGGGAUCAAACAGGAUUAGAUACCCUGGUAGUCCACGCCGUAAACGAUGAGUGCUAAGUGUUAGGGGGUUUCCGCCCCUUAGUGCUGCAGCUAACGCAUUAAGCACUCCGCCUGGGGAGUACGACCGCAAGGUUGAAACUCAAAGGAAUUGACGGGGGCCCGCACAAGCGGUGGAGCAUGUGGUUUAAUUCGAAGCAACGCGAAGAACCUUACCAAAUCUUGACAUCCUUUGACAACUCUAGAGAUAGAGCUUUCCCCUUCGGGGGACAAAGUGACAGGUGGUGCAUGGUUGUCGUCAGCUCGUGUCGUGAGAUGUUGGGUUAAGUCCCGCAACGAGCGCAACCCUUAAGCUUAGUUGCCAUCAUUAAGUUGGGCACUCUAAGUUGACUGCCGG